CCUACGGGUGGCUGCAGUGAGGAAUAUUGGUCAAUGGGCGCGAGCCUGAACGAGCCAAGUAGCGUGAAGGAUGACUGCCCUACGGGUUGUAAACUUCUUUUAUAGAGGAAUAAAGUUAGGCACGUGUGCCUUUUUGUCUUGACUUUAUGAAUAAGGAUCGGCUAACUCCGUGACAGCAGCCGCGGUACUACGGAGGAUCCGAGCGUUAUCCGGAUUUAUUGGGUUUAAAGGGAGCGUAGAUGGGUUGUUAAGUCAGUUGUGAAAGUUUGCGGCUCAACCGUAAAAUCGCAAUUGAUACUGGCAGACUUGAGUACAGUUGAGGUAGGCGGAAUUCGUGGUGUAGCGGUGAAAUGCUUAGAUAUAACGAAGAACUCCGAUUGCGAAGGCAGCUUACUAAACUGUGACUGACAUUGAUGCUCGAAAGUGUGGGUAUCAAACAGGAUUAGAUACCCGAGUAGUC
RNAcentral lists this ribosomal RNA (460 nucleotides) under uncultured bacterium. RNAcentral describes it as "partial 16S ribosomal RNA". It matches the Rfam family "Bacterial small subunit ribosomal RNA", at positions 338 to 795 of the family's 1533-position model. The record is from RNAcentral.